This 254-nucleotide ribosomal RNA is filed under the name uncultured bacterium. Its description in RNAcentral is "partial 16S ribosomal RNA". It matches the Rfam family "Bacterial small subunit ribosomal RNA", at positions 524 to 776 of the family's 1533-position model. The record is from RNAcentral.
UACGGGGGGAGCAAGCGUUGUUCGGAUUUACUGGGCGUAAAGGGCGCGUAGGCGGUCGUGACAAGUCACUUGUGAAAUCUCCGGGCUUAACUCGGAACGGUCAAGUGAUACUGUCGGACUAGAGUACAGAAGGGGCAACUGGAAUUCUUGGUGUAGCGGUGAAAUGCGUAGAUAUCAAGAGGAACACCUGCGGCGAAGGCGGGUUGCUGGGCUGACACUGACGCUGAGGCGCGAAAGCCAGGGGAGCGAACGGG